UACGUAGGGUGCGAGCGUUGUCCGGAAUUACUGCGCGUAAAGAGCUCGUAGGCGGUUUGGUAAGUCGGGUGUGAAAACCCCAGGCUCAACCUGGGGACGCCACCUGAUACUGCUAUGACUUGAGUCUGGUAGGGGACCACGGAAUUCCUGGUGUAGCGGUGAAAUGCGCAGAUAUCAGGAGGAACACCGGUGGCGAAGGCGGUGGUCUGGGCCAGUACUGACGCUGAGGAGCGAAAGCGUGGGUAGCAAACAGG
RNAcentral lists this ribosomal RNA (254 nucleotides) under uncultured bacterium. Its description in RNAcentral is "partial 16S ribosomal RNA". It matches the Rfam family "Bacterial small subunit ribosomal RNA", at positions 524 to 776 of the family's 1533-position model. The record is from RNAcentral.